This 269-nucleotide ribosomal RNA is filed under the name uncultured prokaryote. RNAcentral describes it as "partial 16S ribosomal RNA". It matches the Rfam family "Bacterial small subunit ribosomal RNA", at positions 524 to 792 of the family's 1533-position model. The record is from RNAcentral.
UACGUAGGGGGCAAGCGUUAUCCGGAUUUACUGGGUGUAAAGGGAGCGUAGACGGAAGAUCAAGUCAGGUGUGAAAGGCAUGGGCUCAACCCGUGGACUGCACUUGAAACUGGUCAUCUCGAGUGUCGGAGGGGCAGGCGGAAUUCCUGGUGUAGCGGUGAAAUGCGUAGAUAUCAGGAAGAACACCGGUGGCGAAGGCGGCCUGCUGGACGAUUACUGACGUUGAGGCUCGAAGGCGUGGGGAGCAAACAGGAUUAGAUACCCUGGUA